RNAcentral lists this long non-coding RNA (1180 nucleotides) under Vulpes vulpes (red fox). RNAcentral describes it as "lncRNA (ENSVVUG00000027748.1)". Lineage: Eukaryota; Metazoa; Chordata; Mammalia; Carnivora; Canidae. The record is from RNAcentral.
CAGAUUUGCUUCAUCCAGUGUACCUGCCCUUCACUUUGCAAGUAUGCAUCAUCCCAGCCUACAAAGUAACAAAGAAGUUCUAGUGACUUCCGUGAAAGCAUCCAUUGCCUUUGUGGCUUUCCAUUUUUUGUGAAUUCUAUAGCUUGAGGUGUUAACUGUUCAUUUUGUUUAGCUUCUGCUGGCUCCAAAGAAGAACUCUGUUACCUGCAGCCUCUCCUGGGUUUGAGUGGAGAUGGUGUGUAGAUCGGCGGGGGUUUCUUGAUGGAGCUACUGAAGUUACCAUUUACAGAUGCCUCCCAGCAGCCUUAAUGACUGUUGCCAAGAAAAUGCUCAGCCAUCCCCCAAUAGCAGCCACAGGGCAAAGCCAGAAAGAAAUCACCUCCAAAGGACCAAGAAAUGGCAAAAUAAUGAAGAAGAGGAAGAGACAGAAGGAGGAAAACGAAGGGGAAGAGGGAAAGAAGCCGGGGGAGGGGGAAUUCUUCUGAGUCCCCUCUGUGCUUGUGACCUUUUAAACCACAGACUUAGCACCACGAUGCUCUUUCAAUUUAAUUCAAUGAGAUGUGGUUGCUACCAAAAAGGACCCAGUAUAGAAAGUGCUAUACUGCCCAAGAUGGCAACUACAUGUAAGAAUCAGUUCUCCAUACUCUUUUCUUUUAUUCUUGUCNUUACCAAAAAGGACCCAGUAUAGAAAGUGCUAUACUGCCCAAUGGCAACUACAUGUAAGAAUCAGUUCUCCAUACUCUUUUCUUUUAUUCUUGUCCUUUUUUCUUUCCUUUCUUAAAGCAGAUCUCUCUCAAGGAGUGGGGGAGGGGGCAAAUGCUAGAUGGGAGGAGAAGAAGAAGAAGGAAAAAAAGAAGCCUGACUGCAGCUUAGCUUUGUGAAUUCAAGAAGUGUGUGUUUGAAAAAUGAAGGUGCAUAAGUUAGCGUAGCUCCAGGGCACCAGCUUCCCUAGUGUUAGCAUAGCUGACACACUGACAGUUUAUAUGGAAUUUAUGUGCCUAUUUCCUCUGCUUUUUAUGGGAAAACAUGUUGUUACCUUACAGCUGCCCACAUCACAUGCCGCCAAUCCGCCUCUGAGCCAUAGAGCACCUUUCUCAAGGAAACGUACAUACAUCAAGGGCUUAUGUAUUUUUUACAAUGUUGUAAGGGGAAAAUAAUAAAAUAUGGGUUAUGGUGUACA